Molecule: ribosomal RNA, 491 nt
Filed under: uncultured bacterium
Lineage: Bacteria
Description: partial 16S ribosomal RNA
Rfam family: Bacterial small subunit ribosomal RNA
Source: RNAcentral
GUGAACGCUGGCGGUAGGCCUAACCCAUGCAAGUCGAACGGCAGCACCGUAAGCGCUUGCUCUUACGGGUGGCGAGUGGCGGACGGGUGAGGAAUACAUCGGAAUCUACUUUUUCGUGGGGGAUAACGUAGGGAAACUUACGCUAAUACCGCAUACGACCUACGGGUGAAAGCAGGGGAUCUUCGGACCUUGCGCGAUUGAAUGAGCCGAUGUCGGAUUAGCUAGUUGGCGGGGUAAAGGCCCACCAAGGCGACGAUCCGUAGCUGGUCUGAGAGGAUGAUCAGCCACACUGGAACUGAGACACGGUCCAGACUCCUACGGGAGGCAGCAGUGGGGAAUAUUGGACAAUGGGCGCAAGCCUGAUCCAGCCAUACCGCGUGGGUGAAGAAGGCCUUCGGGUUGUAAAGCCCUUUUGUUGGGAAAGAAAAGCAGCAGGUUAAUACCCCGCUGUUCUGACGGUACCCAAAGAAUAAGCACCGGCUAACUUCGUG